UAGGGAAUCUUCCACAAUGGACGAAAGUCUGAUGGAGCAACGCCGCGUGAGUGAAGAAGGUUUUCGGAUCGUAAAGCUCUGUUGUUGGUGAAGAAGGAUAGAGGCAGUAACUGGUCUUUAUUUGACGGUAAUCAACCAGAAAGUCACGGCUAACUACGUGCCAGCAGCCGCGGUAAUACGUAGGUGGCAAGCGUUGUCCGGAUUUAUUGGGCGUAAAGCGAGCGCAGGCGGAAUGAUAAGUCUGAUGUGAAAACCCACGGCUCAACCGU
RNAcentral lists this ribosomal RNA (269 nucleotides) under uncultured bacterium. Its description in RNAcentral is "partial 16S ribosomal RNA". It matches the Rfam family "Bacterial small subunit ribosomal RNA", at positions 355 to 616 of the family's 1533-position model. The record is from RNAcentral.